Molecule: transfer RNA, 78 nt
Filed under: Camelus bactrianus (Bactrian camel)
Lineage: Eukaryota; Metazoa; Chordata; Mammalia; Artiodactyla; Camelidae
Also listed under: 2 other names
Rfam family: tRNA
About the family: Transfer RNA (tRNA) molecules are approximately 80 nucleotides in length.
Source: Rfam by way of RNAcentral
GAGAGUAUAGCUCAGUGGCAGUGGAAGAGUACAUGCCUAGCAUGCACAAGGUCCUGGGUUCAAUCCCCAGUGCCUCCA